Molecule: ribosomal RNA, 425 nt
Filed under: Amaurobioides sp. BDO-134
Lineage: Eukaryota; Metazoa; Arthropoda; Arachnida; Araneae; Anyphaenidae
Also listed under: 1 other name
Description: partial 16S ribosomal RNA
Source: RNAcentral
UAACAAAAACAUUUCUAUUAGAUUUCAUUAAUAGUAUAAUCUGCUCAAUGAUAUUAAAUAGCCGCUAUUACUGUGCUAAGGUAGCAUAAUCAUUUGUCUUUUAAUUAAAGACUAGAACAAAAGAUUGAACAUUUUAAUUAAUAUAUCCAAACUAAUUAAUUAAAUUUAUUUUAAAUGUAAAAAAACAUUUAUAAAUUAGAAAGACGAUAAGACCCUAUUAAACUUAACUUAAGUUAAACUGGGGCAGUUAAUUAAUUAUCAUUUUAAUUUAAAUACAAAAACAAAUAGAUCCUAUAAAAUAGAUUAAAUGACCAAGUUACUAUAGGGAUAACAGCGUAAUAUUAAUUAAAAGACCUUAUUAAAAUAAAAGAUUACGACCUCGAUGUUGAAUUAAUAACCUAUAUAGUUGCAAUAAACAAUAAAGG